Molecule: small nucleolar RNA, 138 nt
Filed under: Ornithorhynchus anatinus (platypus)
Lineage: Eukaryota; Metazoa; Chordata; Mammalia; Monotremata; Ornithorhynchidae
Source: RNAcentral
CCCCUCUCAGGGUCACACCUGGAGAAUUCCCAGUACUCUACCAGUCUUGACUACAACAGGGAGAAUCAGGCAGAGGCAUAUCCAUUCCAUUUCUAGCUUGGCCAGGGACUAGCAAGUGGAAGGCAAUCUGCUACAAGU